UACGUAGGUCCCGAGCGUCGUCCGGAUUUAUUGGGCGUAAAGCGAGCGCAGGUGGUUUAUUAAGUCUGGUGUAAAAGGCAGUGGCUCAACCAUUGUAUGCAUUGGAAACUGGUAGACUUGAGUGCAGGAGAGGAGAGUGGAAUUCCAUGUGUAGCGGUGAAAUGCGUAGAUAUAUGGAGGAACACCGGUGGCGAAAGCGGCCCUCUGGCCUGUAACUGACACUGAGGCUCGAAAGCGUGGGGAGCAAACAGG
This 252-nucleotide ribosomal RNA is filed under the name uncultured bacterium. RNAcentral's name for it is "partial 16S ribosomal RNA". It matches the Rfam family "Bacterial small subunit ribosomal RNA", at positions 524 to 776 of the family's 1533-position model. The record is from RNAcentral.